UCCAGCAUCCAAGAAUCAGCCUGAACCAACGGCAGCUGCCAGGCGACAGCUCAGAGCCCAGUGGGGGUGGUAAAGACCAUUCAGAUAAAGGCUUGGGGAAGAACAAUGGAAAUUGUUCCCGGCAGCACCCAAACCUGGAAAACUCUUUUGGGGCAGAGCUUGGGUGUCUCCUGCCUUGAUCUCAGUGCCAUCUUUCUCCCCUGGCUCCAGAAGUUCCUUCUAUUCUUCCAGAUUUUCCAAAUGCAGACCAAGAGGGAUUGAGCUCUCCUCUACCCUGCCUGGCCCAGAAGUUCCAUUUCCUACCUCCUUCUAGCAGGGGAGCAGGGGCCUUCCUUGGUGGCCCCCAGGAUGGCCCUAUCUCAGAAAGACACAACGACGACUUCUCUGUAUAAUAGACACCACCACACAGGCUUUCUGCCAGCAUUGAGGAGGAACAGGAGCUCUUCUCCAGCCAGGUGAACAUGGCCUCGCUUGGCAAGCUUGCAGUCCUACAUUCCGGUAGGUUACAGGCUGCUUCCAGUAACGCAGGGAGGCUGGGGAAGGAUGAGUUGGGACAUUUUAUUAUGGUGGACUAUCUGAGUGGAAAUGGAUAGCUGAGCCCUCUGAGGACCCGCAGCCUCAUUACCCAGAGGGGAAACCAAGGUUCACGCAGGAGAAGGGGCUUGUCCAAGGUCACUUUUGCAGUCUUGUCUCUAAGAAUAUGGAUUUUGGAGACAGGGAGAUUUGAAUUCUGCCACUUACUAGCUAUAAGAGCCUGAGCAAAUUGCAAGCCCUGAGGCUUAGUUUCUGCAAAUGUUAAUGAGGAAUCACAAUUCUGAUAUUUUAUUGCUAUGAAGAUUAGAGGAAAUGAUAGAUGAAGAGCCUGCUCCUGAGUGGCUGUUCAGGCCUCCAGCCCCAAGUCCCUAGGCAUAGGAUGAUGGGGAAACUGCUGAGAAGGGCCUUCUUGUUUCUCAGGCAACAAAACUGCCAAAGGCUUUAGGAGAGAAUCCUAGUGGGGUUUGGGUUGGGGGAACUCUGAUUUCAAGGAAGUGAGUGGCUUGGGAUCUGGUCCAGCUUUCCCGUCCUUUCCUUUCAUUCAUCUGCUCAUUCAUUCCACAGAUGUGGAUUAAGCAUCCACUCAGGGACAGAUUCUGUCCUGGAUGCUGCUCUAUCAAAGAGAACUAAGACCCAACUGCUCCCCACCCUAAAUGCUCACAGUCCAGUGGAGAAAGAGAGAGAGAGACAAGGCAAAGAGACACUGUCAGAGUGAAAUUGCUGUUAGAGGUGUGUGCAUGACACACGGGGAACCCUGAGGAAGUGGAGCUGCUGAAGAGUCAUGCUUCCUUUUUUUUUUUUUUUUUAACUGCAGAGCACUUUGUUAUGGUUGAGACCUACCUUUCUGUAUAAUUUUAUAACCUGCUAUUUCUUCUUAAAUUUUUUUUAGAAAUGAGGUCUCACUAUGUUGCCCAGGCUGGAGUGCAGUGGCUAUUCACAGGUGCAGUCCCACUGAUCAGCAUGGGAGUUCUGACCUGCUCCGUUUUGGAUCUGGGCUGGUUCACCCCUCCUUGGGCAACCUGGUGGUCCCCCGCUCCUGGGAGGUCACCUUGUUGAUGUCAAACUUAGUGUGGACAUCCAAUCAGCACAGCACACUGAAGCCCAGAACUCCUGAACUCAAGCGAUCCUCCUGCCUCAGCCUCCCAAGUAGCUAGGACUACAGGCACGUGCCACCGCAUCCAGCUAUUAUUAUUUUUAGUUAACAUGUAGUAAUUGUACAUA
Molecule: long non-coding RNA, 1755 nt
Organism: Pan troglodytes (chimpanzee)
Lineage: Eukaryota; Metazoa; Chordata; Mammalia; Primates; Hominidae
Exons: 2
Source: RefSeq, a predicted model, not a curated record